GGAAAAGAGGAAGACCAAAUAUGGGAUGGAUUAGUUCCAUAAAGGAAACCCUAGGCCUGAGUCUACAGAAGCUGAGUAGAGCUGUUGAGGACAGACAUCGUGGACAUCACUCAUUCAUAAGGUUGCUGGGAGUUGGAGCUGACUUGAUGGCACGUAACAACAAAUACAUUUUAGAUCCAGAGCUGGGCAUUAGGGACACCAAGUCCAACAAGACGAGGAUCUGGAGCCCAGCAGGAGGACAGCCAGUUUUCCCAGGGAUGCAACGACCUCCAGGAAAUGAGAGAAAGAGAUGGCGUGGAAUCUCAAAGACGACAACACCAGAUGGUCGACAUCCCAAGAGCCCCCUUUUCCAGCCCAUUUGCCCUAUAGAACUGCUUCAAAAUGUUGUAGUUUUAGGAUGGUUCUUUAGGACACGAGUCGCCAUCUUCCCCCUUGCAAGCGAGA
This 444-nucleotide long non-coding RNA is filed under the name Equus caballus (horse). RNAcentral's name for it is "lncRNA (ENSECAG00000028681.2)". The record is from RNAcentral. Lineage: Eukaryota; Metazoa; Chordata; Mammalia; Perissodactyla; Equidae.